This 229-nucleotide ribosomal RNA is filed under the name uncultured bacterium. RNAcentral describes it as "partial 16S ribosomal RNA". It matches the Rfam family "Bacterial small subunit ribosomal RNA", at positions 568 to 796 of the family's 1533-position model. The record is from RNAcentral.
UCCGUAGGCGGGCAGCUCAGUCAGUGGUGAAAGUUUGCAGCUCAACUGUAAAAUUGCCAUUGAUACUGGUUGUCUUGAAUUAAUGUGAAGUGGUUAGAAUAUGUAGUGUAGCGGUGAAAUGCAUAGAUAUUACAUAGAAUACCAAUUGCGAAGGCAGAUCACUAAUAAUAUAUUGACGCUGAUGGACGAAAGCGUGGGGAGCGAACAGGAUUAGAUACCCUGGUAGUCC